Molecule: ribosomal RNA, 253 nt
Filed under: uncultured bacterium
Lineage: Bacteria
Description: partial 16S ribosomal RNA
Rfam family: Bacterial small subunit ribosomal RNA
Source: RNAcentral
GACGAACCGUGCGAACGUUGUUCGGAAUCACUGGGCUUAAAGGGCGCGUAGGCGGGUCGGUCAGUCCGGGGUGAAAGCCCCCAGCUCAACUGGGGAAGCGCCUUGGAGACGGCCGGUCUUGAGGGAGGUAGGGGCGUGCGGAACUUCCGGUGUAGCGGUGAAAUGCGUAGAUAUCGGAAGGAACAUCAGUGGCGAAAGCGACUUCCUGGACCAAUACUGACGCUCAUGUGCGAAAGCGUGGGGAGCAAACAGG